UUAAAUUAAGUUUAGGAAAGCGUCAGUUUUAUGAUUUGUAUUCAUUAUAUUUUGACAGAUGCAGAUUUAAUUCAGUAAUUUUAAGUAUUUUCUAUUACAAUUACCUUUGAGAGAUGUUACUGAAAAUCCUGUCAAACAUAAAAGCUUAAGAUUUAAACGUGUAGUAUUAGGCAGACAAUUGACAAAUGCUCGCCAAUUAAGGGAUUAAAGGUCACUAGAAUAUCAGCCUAAUCUUUUUUUUAUGGGUAUAAUCAUGUCGGUAUUUGUUAUUUACCAAUAGUAUAUUAGUAUUUUGACCAGGGACACAUUUUACCUGGCAAUUUAUGUAAAAGUACUUUUAUACCUGUGAUGGCUUAAGUUAAACACUGUGGGUCUGGAAACAUUACUUGAGUGUUUAACCCUCCUGCCUCAUGUGUCUCAACAGAAGACCUUUUAUCUGUCCAUGCUGUUUCUCCCAGCCUGAAGAAAGACCUUAAAGAGUUUAGAUGUCAGUUCAGAACAAUCAUCUAAUUGGAACAACACGACUCCUGAGCAGUUCUGGUAGUUGGGAAUGAGAGAAACCAGGCAUAACAUGCUGAGGAUACUGACUGGGACAUUACCACCAACCAUGAUGGAGAGAUUGUGGUUCUCAAACUGAGCUGCACUUGAGGGAAGAACACAUACAAGUGGAUCAGACACUGCAGCGCUGGACCUGUAAUUAACACACUGUGCAUAUUUUUCUCAAUGGGUGAUAGUUUCUGCAUUUUAAAAAGACAGAUUCGCAUUUAUCAAAUUGUUAUUUUGUAUGUUAGUUGUAGGGCUGCAACAACCAAAUAAUUUAAUUUAAUAAUCAGAUAAAAAAGG
This is a long non-coding RNA of Astyanax mexicanus (Mexican tetra), 843 nucleotides long. RefSeq lists it as uncharacterized. The transcript has 2 exons. The record is from RefSeq and is a predicted model, not a curated record. NCBI's taxonomy places the organism in Eukaryota, Metazoa, Chordata, Actinopteri, Characiformes, Acestrorhamphidae.